GAUUUACAUUUGAGUGAGUGGCGAACUGGUGAGUAACACGUGGGAAACCUGCCCAGAAGCGGGGGAUAACACCUGGAAACAGAUGCUAAUACCGCAUAACAACUUGGACCGCAUGGUCCGAGUUUGAAAGAUGGCUUCGGCUAUCACUUUUGGAUGGUCCCGCGGCGUAUUAGCUAGAUGGUGGGGUAACGGCUCACCAUGGCAAUGAUACGUAGCCGACCUGAGAGGGUAAUCGGCCACAUUGGGACUGAGACACGGCCCAAACUCCUACGGGAGGCAGCAGUAGGGAAUCUUCCACAAUGGACGAAAGUCUGAUGGAGCAACGCCGCGUGAGUGAAGAAGGGUUUCGGCUCGUAAAACUCUGUUGUUAAAGAAGAACAUAUCUGAGAGUAACUGUUCAGGUAUUGACGGUAUUUAACCAGAAAGCCACGGCUAACUACGUGCCAGCAGCCGCGGUAAUACGUAGGUGGCAAGCGUUGUCCGGAUUUAUUGGGCGUAAAGCGAGCGCAGGCGGUUUUUUAAGUCUGAUGUGAAAGCCUUCGGCUCAACCGAAGAAGUGCAUCGGAAACUGGGAAACUUGAGUGCAGAAGAGGACAGUGGAACUCCAUGUGUAGCGGUGAAAUGCGUAGAUAUAUGGAAGAACACCAGUGGCGAAGGCGGCUGUCUGGUCUGUAACUGACGCUGAGGCUCGAAAGUAUGGGUAGCAAACAGGAUUAGAUACCCUGGUAGUCCAUACCGUAAACGAUGAAUGCUAAGUGUUGGAGGGUUUCCGCCCUUCAGUGCUGCAGCUAACGCAUUAAGCAUUCCGCCUGGGGAGUACGGCCGCAAGGCUGAAACUCAAAGGAAUUGACGGGGGCCCGCACAAGCGGUGGAGCAUGUGGUUUAAUUCGAAGCUACGCGAAGAACCUUACCAGGUCUUGACAUACUAUGCAAAUCUAAGAGAUUAGACGUUCCCUUCGGGGACAUGGAUACAGGUGGUGCAUGGUUGUCGUCAGCUCGUGUCGUGAGAUGUUGGGUUAAGUCCCGCAACGAGCGCAACCCUUAUUAUCAGUUGCCAGCAUUAAGUUGGGCACUUUGGUGAGACUGCCGGUGACAAACCGGAGGAAGGUGGGGAUGACGUCAAAUCAUCAUGCCCCUUAUGACCUGGGCUACACACGUGCUACAAUGGAUGGUACAACGAGUUGCGAACUCGCGAGAGUAAGCUAAUCUCUUAAAGCCAUUCUCAGUUCGGAUUGUAGGCUGCAACUCGCCUACAUGAAGUCGGAAUCGCUAGUAAUCGCGGAUCAGCAUGCCGCGGUGAAUACGUUCCCGGGCCUUGUACACCCCGCCCGUCACACCAUGAGAGUUUGUAACACCCAAA
Molecule: ribosomal RNA, 1360 nt
Filed under: Lactiplantibacillus plantarum
Lineage: Bacteria; Bacillati; Bacillota; Bacilli; Lactobacillales; Lactobacillaceae
Description: bacterial SSU rRNA
Rfam family: Bacterial small subunit ribosomal RNA
Source: RNAcentral